This 2318-nucleotide long non-coding RNA is filed under the name Capsicum annuum. RNAcentral's name for it is "long non-coding RNA (CANN_LNC005314)". Lineage: Eukaryota; Viridiplantae; Streptophyta; Magnoliopsida; Solanales; Solanaceae. The record is from RNAcentral.
GCGAAAAUACCCAAAACAACAAAAUCUAAACGUAAAUGUGAAAGUAAAUCCGAAAGCCUCUAAAUUGUCUGAAUAAGGAGUUAAAGGAACAUGUGUCCAACUAACUCUGUAAAACUGAACUAAAUAAAUAAAUGCAUCAAAUCAUAUUGUCCUCGAAUUAAAGAGGACUCACUGUGUCUCUGUGACUGGAAUGCUACCGCUACUGCUGGACUGGAGCUUGUGUCUCGGAACCUAUGGUGUAACAUGAAAAGAAAGCACCAUAGCGCAAAUGCGUCAGUACAACUGGAGUACUGACUAUACGAGGAAGUUAGGCUGAACAUAAAGGGUUUCAUGCAUGAACAACACUGAUUGACUAAUAUGAACAUUGGAGUGAAAACACACAUAUAUAGAAACUGGGACCGUGAAUAUGUGAUAGCAUAACCUAUAAGCUAAUACAUGGUUUACUGAUAACUGUUCUGACUGAUACUAAAAUCGAUAACAUGGAUGACUAUAUCUGACAGUCCUGUAUAUACUAAAAUCUGAAGAACGCUCUGAGUUCUUUUACUGAGACUGUUAUUGAAACUGAUAACAUGGAUGACUGUAUCUGACAGUUCUGUAUAUACUAAAAUCUGAAGAACUAUCUGAGUUCUUUUACUGAGACUGAUAAUGAAAUUGUAGGAAAUAGUGUUUAUCCGACAUACCCCAUAUAUGCUGUUAUAGCUAAGCUGGGGUCCAAUCUCUGCUCCAACUUGAGGGGUGUCAAUACUGCGCCACUGGUAAGGACAACUGUGAGUGACCCUAAUCUGGUGGGUACUCAAUAAUAACGGUAGGAACCCUAAAUUGACGGGUUAACCCACCUCAUCAACCCUAAGCUGAUGGGUUAAGAUGUCUCAACCUACGCUGGCUACGUAGUUCUAGAACACAAGAAUUGCCACUAAGAAUCACAUCCUGAACUGGCGGUUGAGUUCCCAUCCUUGGGUUCACUCGGUGCUAACCUCUACUCUCAUCUGAAGGACACUGAACUGAAUAACUAAGCUAAACUGAAUAACUAAACUGAACUGAUUAGCUGAACUGAUACUAAUUAACUGGACAAAUACUAAUGGUAUUGUUUAGCAGAGCUAAACUAUGUUUACUAGAUUCAAAUGACUGAAGGAAUGUACUGAGUUCUGAGGACUGGUUGAGAGUACUGAAGUUGCUAAGAUUGACUGUGAAUACUGAGGUUACCGAAGUUAUUGAGCACUGAGAUUACUGAGAUUACUGGACUACUGAGAUUACUGAGAUUUUUGAGUUUUCCUGAGUCACAUGACUGACUGAAUUCUAUAGAUCAUGGCUUGACUAUGAGUAUCGUGAAAACAUGACAUGGCUUUAGGUACACAACUAUAUUUUUUGGGUACAAGUACCCCCAGUACUCGAUGGAAGGAAACUGACACACAUGACUAACUUGAUCAUAAGAGUAGAGUCCAUAAUUUAUAAUAUCAUAAGUAGGUAUCUCAUACUAAGCAUGGUUAUCAACAAUGUAUUGCAUGGAAAGGAUUUCAUAGCACAUGGAAGUACUUGAACAAUCUUAAUAUCAUGUUCAUUGCAUAAUCAUAUUAGCAACUCAUACUAAUAGCUUGAAAGUUCAUGUGGAUUGCAUGGUUAUCCUACAUCUUGUUCAUAAGUAGAAUUUGAAAGUAAACAUAGCAUAAUCUCAUAAUAAUAGUUCAUGAGUAUUCCAACAACAUUUACAAAGCACAUUAACAACAUAGAAGUCAUUGGAACAUAAGGACAUAUAAUGAAUCUUUCACUUAGUCACAAUUUAGCUAUAUUGCAUGAUUUCUAGUUCCUUAGGCAUUUUAUCAAAAACCUUACAUGCACAUCUUAAGCAUAGGUGAAUUCAUCAAAUUAUACAUCAUGAACAACAAAAUUUACAUGUUUCUAACUCAUAUGAUAUCAUGAAUUCACAAAAACAUAUAAAGAUUCAAUCUUGGGAAUCAACCAAUAUCAACAACAUGAUCAUUAACACCCAACACUAUAGAAAUCAAACGUUCAUAAUGAAAAAGGGGAAAACAAACAAGCAUCAACAUGGGUAUGAUCAUAUCACCAUAAUCAACCAAGCUUUUGUAUUUUAAAGAUUUAUUCUUGAACUCUAUAAACGAAUUGAAUCCAUAGAUGAACACUACACAUACCUUAGAAGGAAGAUUCUUGAUGAUUGAAGGAGGAAUUUCCUUGAAAUCAGAUCUUCAAGCUUACUUAUCAAACCCUAGUUGUUUUUCUCCUUUAGUGCUCUUGGAUGAUGAGCUUUGAGAUGAAAAUAGGGUUCCAGUAUGUUUAGAAGAUAUAAAUUUCGUAGGGUUAAG